Molecule: long non-coding RNA, 801 nt
Filed under: Chrysolophus pictus (golden pheasant)
Lineage: Eukaryota; Metazoa; Chordata; Aves; Galliformes; Phasianidae
Description: lncRNA (ENSCPIG00010014368.1)
Source: RNAcentral
AAUUUUCUAUUUGAGAGAACCUCCACUUUUCUGCCACCAAAUUGUCAUGGAGCUCAUUACCUCCAAUGAGAUGAGCAAUGAUGUGGAAUAAACAGACCUCCCUGAGAAAAACUUGCCUGUCGGGGAUAGCACAUGAGAACAUGUGGGCUGAAGUCUCCCUGUGGCAGAGAGGGCAAAAUUAAAUCAAGGUCUCCUUGAUCCCGAGGACGUCAGCUCACCCGGCGUUGAUGGGAACACCGCACUGUGAUUCUCCACCCCCAGUCUAAAAGGACUUGUUCUUUGCACAGCUUUUGAAAGAAAGAGUAUGGCACCUUUGCAUUCUGGACAAUGGAUGGAGGUAACUCCAUGAAAAUCCCUGUGGAAAGUCCCACCUCUCCGUGCCAGCUUUACCUUCUGAUGCCUGCAGGCACUUCCCUGGGGAGAACAGGGCUACCUAAUUCUGAUCAGGUUGCCUUCCCAUGCACUCUAGCGGCAGCUGCACAGAAGAAAGUUGUCUGUGUCCUCCUAGGCUCAGCUUCCAAUACUGCUGAAGAGAAGACAGAGCCAGUGAAGAGUCACCCCCACAUCAGGUGGAAGCAUAAAAGUUACAGAACCAAAUGUUUCAAGCAGAGUCUGCGUCUAAUUCAUCACUGCUUGCCAGGCACAGCCCACAUAGUCCCGGUGGCAUCAAGCUGUAGAAGCAGGUCUGGCAUCAGCAUGUUCUGCAGAGCAGCGCUAGCUUCUGUCAGGAGCAGAUUGCUGGAGCUGAUGCUGGCUGGUAAUUCAAGUUGCACUUCUGCUGUGCAAGUAUCUGCAAGGUGA